UUUGCCAAUGGAUACCAGAUGCCACGCCCUCGCCAUUGUGGACAAGAAGUGUAUGCGGUAAUGACUGGUUGUUGGGAGAAGGAAGCUACAAAUCGGAGUAACUUUGAUCAGAUCUUCAAGAGUUUGGAAAGGAUUCUAGAAAAGACUCAUAAUUACCUGUCUCUCAAUGACUUGGAUGAAGGAUUGUAUGCGUCUACACUGGAUAUGUGAAAUUAAGCCUUGUUCGGAUAUGCAGCGGUACUACAAUGCAUCUAAGUCGUGUACUCUGUACGAUGGUCGCGUCCGAGCCUACUAACCUACAGUAGCAUUAUAGGAACUAACUUGCGUUAAAUUCGGCCAAGAGUGCUGAAUCAGGAUAUCGGAAAUACAUGUAUUAAAUAUGCAUUCAGUAUAUGUCUUUUUUAUAUUUUUUUUCAAGAUCAUUUGG
Molecule: long non-coding RNA, 427 nt
Organism: Strongylocentrotus purpuratus (purple sea urchin)
Lineage: Eukaryota; Metazoa; Echinodermata; Echinoidea; Camarodonta; Strongylocentrotidae
Exons: 3
Source: RefSeq, a predicted model, not a curated record